GAUGAACGCUGGCGGCGUGCUUAACACAUGCAAGUCGAACGGUGAACACGGAGCUUGCUCUGUGGGAUCAGUGGCGAACGGGUGAGUAACACGUGAGCAACCUGCCCCUGACUCUGGGAUAAGCGCUGGAAACGGCGUCUAAUACUGGAUACGAGUAGCGGCCGCAUGGUCAGUUACUGGAAAGAUUUUUUGGUUGGGGAUGGGCUCGCGGCCUAUCAGCUUGUUGGUGGGGUAAUGGCUCACCAAGGCGUCGACGGGUAGCCGGCCUGAGAGGGUGACCGGCCACACGGGGACUGAGACACGGCCCAGACUCCUCCGGGGGGCAGCAGUGGGGAAUAUUGCACAAUGGGCGAAAGCCUGAUGCAGCAACGCCGCGUGAGGGAUGACGGCCUUCGGGUUGUAAACCUCUUUUAGCAGGGAAGAAGCGAAAGUGACGGUACCUGCAGAAAAAGCGCCGGCUAACUACGUGCCAGCCGCCGCCGUAA
Molecule: ribosomal RNA, 485 nt
Filed under: uncultured bacterium
Lineage: Bacteria
Description: partial 16S ribosomal RNA
Rfam family: Bacterial small subunit ribosomal RNA
Source: RNAcentral